AGUAGAGAAAAGAAAAAUCAAAGAAGAAGUUAAAAUGGUCAAAGCUGUUCUUGUUAAGCACCUUGGAGAGCGAAAAAUUGUUAUUGCUAAUAAUAGCAGUAUUAAUGAUUUUUUGAAUAAUAUUUCCAAGAAGUUUGCUAGUACAAGUGGGAACAUUUGUGGAAUCACAUGGAAUGGAUGUAAUGUCGAUGAAGAUACUUUUGUUGCCAUUCUAAAUAAGCAAAAUCUGGAAGUUGAGGCCUUGUCUUUGCCAGUGUCUAAACUUUAUUCAAGCUCUUUUUGCCAAAGUUUAAAUGAUUUUUCUCCUGUUAAAAACCCUGUAUACACCGACCUUGAAAAUUUUCAUGCUUCUUCACCACACCAGUGUUUAUCUUUACCCGUGACAAAUCUAGAGAGCACAGCUGAUGUAACUGAACCAGUUUUUAUUCAAGAAGCUUUACCUCAAAAAUGUGCAUUUUCACAGUCUUCAUUGGCAGGCAUUUCCAGUCAACCAUCCUAUACUGCUUAAGUGGCUUUAACAUCUAAUCCACUAACAAAUGCAAUCCAAAAAAUUGAUAGAACUUCUUUUGUUGGUGAUGUUAGACAACAACUCAUUAAUUACUUUCCUCUACACAUUAAACAUUUUGUUAGCAGCAAUUCUGUAGUAGAAGAUAAGAUUGUGGCCAGAGAAUUAAUGGCUUGUCUCUUAUCAUUCUGCUUCUCCCAUAUACCAACUCAUGCUAUCAUUGAAAAUAGAGUUCUUCUGCAUAAAACAUUCUUUUCAAAGUUAAAGUCGGCUUGUCUCAGCUUAUAUCCUUGUUAUGGUCAACAAUGGGAUCUCAUUUUUAAAAAGUUGCCAAACAAUUAUCGACAACGACAGUAUACCAAGUGUCACAGCUUAAAGGUGAAAAGGCUUCCACAGGUUUCUGUUUCAAAUAACAAUAGGAAACUUAAACCUGUUGUGACUGAAUUGGUAGCUAAUCAAGAGCAGUUAUUAAAAGAUGUUGAAAAUGAAUUAAAAAAAAAAAAAGCCGUCACAGCCAACCUUGUCCAUUUUAAAUAGACAACUAUUUGAUAAUGAGACAUUUAGCAUGAUACCGAAGAGAAUUAGUUUUGCUCCUACACUAAUGCUGGAGGAAGCAAUUCGUUUUUAUGCCGAUUUCAAGGAUGCUAUAAUCAAGAUUCAAGCAAUGUUAUUUUGGAUUUCUCCAGAGUCUGGUAACCACACUGAAAAUUUGUUAAAGCUCCAACAGAAACUUAUUUCCAAGAAGACAUGUGACAAAUUGUUUAUGAAAGUGGAUUGUGACUCUAUUGGAGAAUACAUAAGAGUGCCAAGUUCGUAUGGUCCCCAAGUGAUUUUUAACCACAAGGAGUAUGGCAUAAGGAGUAGACAUGGUCUUGAGAUGGACACUCAGCCAUUAGUCAGCACCAGUGAGAUGGUGGUGAUUUUAGUUAUUGUGUAUUAUUUAUUGGACUUAUCAUAUCCAUCUUGUUUUGGGCAGCUGCUUGGUUUUUUUCAAGAGAUAUGUGAAUUUGAACAAUUUAUUUUUAAAUCAAAAAAGUGCACUGCACUGUUGAACUCUUUUCGGAAUAAUGUAAAGUUUAUUUGAAAUAUAUAUGCAUGAUCCUAAACUACACGA
Non-coding RNA from Hydra vulgaris (swiftwater hydra), 1619 nucleotides. The record is from RefSeq and is a predicted model, not a curated record. NCBI's taxonomy places the organism in Eukaryota, Metazoa, Cnidaria, Hydrozoa, Anthoathecata, Hydridae.